ACUUUAAACUCACUUGACUAAGUCAAAAGGUCCAAAGUCCUUGAAAAGAGUGAUGGGAGU
This 60-nucleotide non-coding RNA is filed under the name unclassified sequences. The record is from RNAcentral.